CCCCGCUGAAAGCCACGGGGCGUUCAAUUAGCCAUCUGGUAGCACGAGCGACAGCAGCCGUUUGUCCGGGCAGCCUGAUGACGCCGACCUCUGGGAUGAGGACAGCAACCAUUUUAUGUUUUGGUCACCUGGGGAUACCGGACAGAUCAACCCGAGAUUCAGAAGAAUCGGCAAAAAUGGCGGACUCUUCCUGAGGUCAACGGACAACGCAACUUCAGGGGUCAUUGUGGCCUGAAGCU
Molecule: long non-coding RNA, 239 nt
Organism: Oryzias melastigma (Indian medaka)
Lineage: Eukaryota; Metazoa; Chordata; Actinopteri; Beloniformes; Adrianichthyidae
Exons: 3
Source: RefSeq, a predicted model, not a curated record